Long non-coding RNA from Manis javanica (Malayan pangolin), 3863 nucleotides. RefSeq lists it as uncharacterized. NCBI's taxonomy places the organism in Eukaryota, Metazoa, Chordata, Mammalia, Pholidota, Manidae. The record is from RefSeq and is a predicted model, not a curated record.
CCUCCGGAGAGGCCUUGGCGGCGGCCUUCACCCUCAGUAACCGGCGCCCCGCCAUCCCGGGCUGUUAGACUUGAAUCGCCCGAGACGUCUGACCUUCGCUUUUCUCUUCAUUGGCUGGAGCCACCGCGGGAGGCUGAUUCAGACGCGACUGAAACUAGAUACACCCCUGAGCGCCUGGGCAGUCCCCGUUUCUGUGCAGGGUACCAGUGAUGUAAAGACAGUGAAGACCAGCCCUACCACAGGCGACAAGGGACAAAGCCACAGAAACAGGUACUUAGAAGUUGUCAUGAUUGUGUAGUGGAGCCAUGCUUAUGACGGUACGGUAAGGGAGCCCCGGACAGGGACAAGCCACCACACAGCUGGGGGCGCAGGCACCCCACUCUUUCUUGGUCUUUCUUCAAAGCUUAACGGAGGUGUCAAGGGGAGAUGGGAAGACAAGGCAAGAGGCACUUUUCCUAGAAGGGAAAUACAUUUGUAAUUGUCAAGGAAGACAGAACAAUUACAUCAGAUCUCUGCAAACUGUCAAACAUAAUCCUAUGUCAUAAUUUCAUUUGGUGACAGUACCUAUCCUAGCGCCUGGAUGAUACCUUUUAAUGAACAGAGGAAUUGAGGACGUUGUAAAAACUACAUAUGUGUCUUCAAGUUAAAAAAUUAAAGUGAAGGAAAAUGAUGAGCAUUUUGAUUGUGCCAUGUGGGGAAGAGAACUACAUUAGGACAUUCAAGGAAGGGUAUCCCCCAAAUAUUUCGGUCAUGCUAUGCUCUACCACCCUGCUUCACCUUACUAACGCUUUCAGUCCAGGCAGCCAAGCAUUGGGACACCAUCAUGUAUGUAGGAAUGCCUAGUGUGAACUCCCAGGCACUCAUUCACCUCUUAUUUAGUCACCAAAUGUUUGUUGACUUCCAUGUUCCAGGCAUAGAGCAGAAACGGGAUGGACAAGGUCCCUGCCCUCACAGAGUUGGCCUGCUAGUGGGGGAAACAAAUUCUACAUAGAAACACAGUCUUUGGCUCAGGGUUCUGUAACCUCAGCACUGGAACAUUCGGGACCAUAUAAAUCUUUGCCGUAGGGUGUUGUCCUAUGCAUCUCCUGGCCUUUUAUCUUAGAUGCUGGGUAUCAUCCCCCACCACCCCAACCAGCCACCCAAGUGUGAUUAUCAAAAAUAUCUUCAGAUAUUUCCUAAGGGGAAAGAUUGCCCUGAGUUGAGAAUCACUAAAUUCAAUGAUGGUAACUCUUGCCUUUUUAAAAUUGUACAGGGUUAUGUAUCUGGGAGGGAAAUGAGCAGUAAAACCCUAUUUUUAAACUUGAGGGGUGGGGGACCAAAGAAGAUGUUGACUGAAAUGCUUUUAUUGCUUCUGGAGUAGACAUGUGGUGGUUUGGGGCACUUACCCCCAUUACCCUAUUCCUCGUACUAGUCUUUUAUGAAUCCAGACUUUCCUGGUUCAGACUUUUCAGGGAGCAAGGGAGAAGCUAUGUUUCCACGAAGACCCACAAUAAUAGUUUCAUUGAAUUGGAAUUUGAAAUAGCUGCCUGCUCCUUAUUGGGCUUAUCUGAAAAAAAAAUGGGCAAGAAUUAGAUGAUAGUGUGGGUUAGAGUGAGGAGCCUGCCUCUCCAGUGGAUUAGCAGGCUGCGGAGCACAGGGAGUGCCUGCUGCCUGGAUUGAGAAAGUGCUGUCACCUCUCCUAGGCAGCCCUGUCAGGGGCCCCGGCCCCCAUCUCAGUGGGCAAGGAACUCCAGCCAGCUGGGAUGCAGGCCCAAAUCUAGAGUUAAAUACUCAGUUGUAGAAACAGAUACAGGGGCCUCUGUCUUUAUCCUUGCUGUGACAUAUAUGUGGUGGUUUCAAAACUGUGCAGUUCCUGAAUGAAAUGAAUGGAGUGUAAAAAUGUUCCUUUGCCAAAAGGUAUAAUUAACUUAGCACUCACUUAUCCACUGAUGGUAGAAAUUUUACAAAGCCAGAUUUAAGGUUAGUGUCAUUUGGGCUAAAUCCUUAGCACCCUCACCUGCUGGGUAUCUGUCCCCCUUUCGUUGAGGUUGGUCUUAGUCUCAGGGGGCUUAGGUACUGACCUGAUAUUGGAUACGGGGCAUCAUCUACUCUGACAGUCAUCCUGUUGGCUUGCGCGGCCUCUACUGAGAUUAGUUUCUCUCUCUGGUCCUUUAUCUGUGGCUUUUGGUCUUGGAUCUAGAUUCUUAUAUACUUUGUGUAUUAAUUAGGGUAAUGCUGGCUACUUGACAAAUAAACUCCAAACAUUCAAAGAGUUAAUGCAACCGAACUUUAUGGCUCAUAUACCAGUUCAGUGUGGGAGUCCUUAAUUGGUUGGGUGGCUUUCCUUCAAGUGAAAAUUUAGGAGCCCAGCUUCCUUUCAUCUUGUGGUUCCAUCAUUCCCUGAGGCAGAGGUUCCCCAAAUCUCUUGGUUGGUAGUGCCCUUACAGUCCCAGUUAUAUAUUCUUGGGUCUGUAGAUGGAAAGAAAUAUCUAACAGUUCUGUUGAUUAAGUAGUUAGGGCCAAACAAUGUAAUAGUAAUUGCCUAGUGUCCUGGAUGUUACUAAGUUUUCCUAAAAAUUGUGUAGUAUCCUAAAUACCUUCUUCGGUUCACUAUGGUGUGCUGAUAGUACUAUUUUCUGUGCAUGUUGAAUAUAUCCUAGGUGCCCCUUGUGAAUUCCUUCCUGGUGGUUGUCAAACUGUAUGCAGGAGCCAUGAACCUAGGGCCUUGGAGGCUUUUCUUCCAGCCAGAAGAAGGGGAUAGAGUGUGGGGGAACCACUCUUGCUUUUAAAUCACUUCUGCUCACAUUCCAUUGACAAUAACUGGACAUAUUGCCAUACCUAUAUUAUAUGUUAAGGAACCUGGGAAAUGCAGCUGUCAGCUGGGAAGUCACCUGUUAGCAUAGAAAUAAGAUUUUUGGUAGGCAGCCAGCAGUUUCUGAUACUCUUGGUGACUAUUUCAUCCAGAUUUGGGUUCUGUUGGGUCCUUGGCUCACCCUCAGACCCCUCUGAGCCCUGGGAUGUGGCUGUAGGGCCUCAGAGGUCCUCUGAUUGAAUGUGUGUCAAUCAGAGAGCCUGUCCUCAGUUCAUCUCCCAAACACCUCCCUCGGUCGCGGCUACUCUACAACUUGGUGCCUCUGAGACAUGUAACUCCUUUUUAAGGCUUGCAAAUUUAUGGGCUGUAUUCUGGACAGUUUAAAAAUAAUCUUAUCUGCUCUGAUAAUUCUCGACCUCUCUUGAAUUUCUGUUACCAACCACCCCACCCUGCCCCAUCCAUCAAGAGGCAACUCAUCGCCUAAAGGAAGAUGAUGUUGGCCUUUGUUCCAAUCCACCAUGUACUUCUUUUAUCAGCCCUUCAAACUUUUUAGUACUUCAGGUGAGAACUAAUUCAACAUUAUUAUACACCUUCAUUCUAAUUGUUCUUGAAUAUAUCUUGUGCACUUUUAUUUCAACCUGUGUCUUUCCAUUUUCCAAGCCAAGCUUUUGAAUAUUUCAAAAUAUUUUGCUCUCCCAGAUCUGACAUUUUAAAGGCUUUGAAGACCAUGGUCUCUGUCCACUCAAAAGUUCAAAAAGCCACAAAUUUUACUCUUUCACUUUUUAAUAUUUUUGUUUUCUCUCUCCUUGAGUAAUAAACUCUAGACCCUUGGCAUAAAAUUAGUCAGGGAAGAUUUACUAGAUUAAACAAGAAUUUAACGGAAGAAAAAUGUGUAGGGUAAUAUUUUAGACUACAAUUCAACUACCCUUCUGUAUAGUUACUGCUGUAAUUCAUUUUCCUUUUCUGUUUUUUCUUCUAUCAUUGUCCUGUUGGGGAGGAAAAAUAUUCCUCUACCUUUCAAGGUUCUUCUAACCGGUUUAAGAAUUAAACUGACAGACAGAUUAACAGCAGG